CCUACGGGGGGCAGCAGUGGGGAAUUUUGCGCAAUGCUCGUAAGAGUAACGCAGCGACGCCGCGUGAAUGACGAAGGCCUUCGGGUCGUAAAGUUCUUUCGACAGGGAAGAAAAUGCCUAUAAGUAACUGUGUAUGUAUUGACGGUACCUGUAUAAGCAGCCCCGGCUAACUCCGUGCCAGCAGCCGCGGUAAUACGGAGGGGGCGAGCGUUGUUCGGAGUGACUGGGCGUAAAGAGCACGUAGGCGGUGUUGUAAGUCAUUAGGCAAAGACUAGAGCUCAACUUUAGUAAGGCUAGUGAAACUAUAAUACUUGAGUAUCAGAGAGGAUGGCAGAAUGCCUGGUGUAGCGGUGAAAUGCGUAGAUAUCAGGAGGAAUACCGUUAGCGAAGGCGGCAAUCUGGCUGGAAACUGACGCUGAGGUGCGAAAGCGUGGGUAGCAAACAGGAUUAGAUACCCUGGUAGUC
This 465-nucleotide ribosomal RNA is filed under the name uncultured bacterium. RNAcentral's name for it is "partial 16S ribosomal RNA". It matches the Rfam family "Bacterial small subunit ribosomal RNA", at positions 338 to 795 of the family's 1533-position model. The record is from RNAcentral.